This is a non-coding RNA of Pogona vitticeps (central bearded dragon), 266 nucleotides long. NCBI's taxonomy places the organism in Eukaryota, Metazoa, Chordata, Lepidosauria, Squamata, Agamidae. The record is from RefSeq and is a predicted model, not a curated record.
GGGAUCGAGAUCGGGAUCGUUAUGAUUCAGAUCGAUACCGUGAUGGCCCCCGAAGAGAUAUGGACCGUUUUGGGGGUCGGGAUCGCUAUGAUGACCGUAGAGAUUAUGACAGAGGAGGCUUCGAUUCAAGGUCAGGCAGUGGCAGGAGGGCUUUUGGUAGUGGAUACCGCCGGGACGAUGAUUACAGGGGUGGUGGUGAUCGCUAUGAGGAUCGUUAUGAGAGGCGGGAUGACCGGAUGGAUCGGUGGAGCAGCUCACGGGAUGAC